This 1075-nucleotide long non-coding RNA is filed under the name Callithrix jacchus (white-tufted-ear marmoset). RNAcentral's name for it is "lncRNA (ENSCJAG00000085140.1)". The record is from RNAcentral. Lineage: Eukaryota; Metazoa; Chordata; Mammalia; Primates; Cebidae.
CAUCAUCUCUCUACCCAAAUAUAAGCACUGUUCAUACUAUUUCCUUCCUGCCAGAGGCCUUUUGAUGGCCAUGAAAGACUAACAAGGAGGUCACCUGCGAUCGGGACCAUGGGACAGUAUCGUGCAUAACCCACCACCUGGGGUUUUUUACAAAAGCUUCCAAAGGAAGGCUAACCCUCUCAGCCCCUUCCCAAAGGCCCCUCCUAAGAAACAUGAAAUAAAAUAGAAUUCUGCCCCUCUCUGUUUCCUUCUUUGUACCUCCGGUGCAGCCUGGGCUGUCCCCUCCUCCACAGCCUAGGAGCCCCUCUCACUGGGUAGUUGAGCACUCACAAGCCCAGGCUGCUGAAGCAGGAAGUGCUGCGGUGGGGGCUUACAUUGUCUGCCUAGGAGGCAGAGGCAGCCCGUGGAGGUUCCUUGACCCCAGUGGCCCCAGGCUGACCCCCUGCCAGAGGAAAGGAGCCGGACUGCCAAGAAUGCAGUGGAAUCCCGCUGAGGCUGGAGCCUUGGUAGAGAAAAUGUGCGGAAUGCCAUUUGUUAAAACACACUGGCCUUUGCACAGAAAAGCUCUUUGGGCUUCAACAAAGAUUUUAAAGUAAAGUGUAACCCUGGAGAUUAUCCUGAGAGGUUUGAACCAUUAUUACAGUGAAAUGGCAAAAACAAGGCCAAUAGGAGGAGAAGGGACUAGCCUGUGCCAACAAGAAUUAUAUGGUAAAAAUAAUGCUUUUAAACUUAUUUACAUAUUUACCUAUUUAUUAGAUUCAGAAUCUUGCUCUGUCACACAGGCUGGAGUGCAGUGGUGCAAUCAUAGAUCAGCACAGCCUUGAACUCCUGGGCUUCAGUGAUCCUCCUCCCUGAGCCUCUUGAGUAGCUAGAACUAUAGGCACAUGCCCAUAUGCCUGGCUAAUUUUUAAAUUUUUGGUAGACAUAGGGUCUUGCUAUGUUGCCCAGGCUGGCCUCAAACUCCCGGCAUCAAGUGAUCCUCCUGCCUGGGCCUCCCAAAGCUCUGGGAUUACAGGCAUGAGACACCACUCUCAGCCAAAAAUAAUGUUAAUUAUAAUAGCUGGCUGGGUGUGGU